RNAcentral lists this ribosomal RNA (253 nucleotides) under uncultured bacterium. RNAcentral's name for it is "partial 16S ribosomal RNA". It matches the Rfam family "Bacterial small subunit ribosomal RNA", at positions 524 to 776 of the family's 1533-position model. The record is from RNAcentral.
UACGUAGGAUGCAAGCGUUGUCCGGAUUUACUGGGCGUAAAGCGCGCGCAGGCGGCACUCUAAGUACGCUGUGAAAUAUCCCGGCUCAACCGGGAGGGUGCAGUGUAGACUAGAGAGCUUGAGGUCGGUAGAGGGGGGUAGAAUUGCUGGUGUAGCGGUGAAAUGCGUAGAGAUCAGCAGGAAUACCCGUGGCGAAGGCGGCCCCCUGGGCCGUACCUGACGCUGAGGCGCGAAGGCUAGGGGAGUGAACGGG